UCGAAUCCUGCUAAGCAACGACCCGAGAACAUGUUUAUCGCNNNCGUUGGGACGAGGGAAACCGCGGACCGAUGCCCCGACGACGNCCACCGGUCGCCCGUCGUGCAAACAACCAACCCACCCGCAGAAACGCGCCAAGGAAAACGUAAAUAAGGAUUGUCUGCCCCCCGUCGUGUCGUAUGGUGCGCACGGGAGGAUCACAGACGCCAAAAGAAACA
This 218-nucleotide ribosomal RNA is filed under the name Gentiana altaica. The record is from RNAcentral. Lineage: Eukaryota; Viridiplantae; Streptophyta; Magnoliopsida; Gentianales; Gentianaceae.